CUCAGGGGUGAACGUUGGGUGCGGUCCUGCGGAGGAGAGAGUCUUGCUCACGGGCCUGCAUGCUGUAGCAGAUAUUUACUGUGAGAACUGCAAGACCACCCUGGGCUGGAAAUAUGAACAUGCCUUUGAGAGCAGCCAGAAAUACAAAGAGGGAAAGUUCAUCAUCGAGUUGGCCCACAUGAUCAAGGACAACGGCUGGGACUGAUGCCGACCGGGUGACGCGCGCAUGGAUGGACAAAUAAAUAGAAACUGAAGGGAAGGGGCAAGGGUUGGGGUCUUAUGUGUGGCGGGUUAGUGUGUGACUUGGGUUUGGCUGAUCUACCAUUAACCUCUGUAACUCUCUGCCCAUUCCCUCCCUUUUGACCACACCUGUCUGGAUGUAUACACUCUAUUAACAAAACCACGCAGACAUCCCAGCUUGAGAGACCUGACGCAGCUAAGCAAAUGUGUAGUCAUAGCAAAUGGGGUUACGCUGAGUAUAUACAGUGUGGUGUGCUCUUUGAAAAAAAAAAACAUUAGAUUUUUACUGACAGGUUAAAGAUCUGAUGGGGAUUGCGCUUGUCCCUGCUGUGAAUGAGAUGACCUAGGGGUGAUUAGUGCAAAAAUCCAGUUGAUGGAAGGGGGGGGGGGGGGGGGGUGCCAGCUGUGCCAGCGAUGAAACCUGGUAUUCGGAGGGCAGGACUUGGCACGGUUGCUAUAGGCACAGAGCAGCGGUACCAGUGGUAGAGGGUGGAUUUCAACAUGGUGGCUUGAUCUCUCUGUCCCUUUAAGCUUUGAUAGCUUCCUGGCCCGCUCCGGCUCAGAUGUAGCGGUUUCAAACUGGGCGGGGGUAGUGAAAGAGAUACACCAUGCGCUCGGCCCUUUCCAAAACCACUCAGUGUAGGGUCAGGAGCACCAGGAGCGUCAGGAGCGACAGGAGCAGACGUGGAGCGGCCUCCCUCAGAGUUGUAUUCAUCCGCGUGGUGUUAUGCGAUACUAGGAUCACGAGCUGCAUGUCGGCUGUCUGCGUUGUGUUACUUAAGCAGGUAGAAUUACACAACAGGAGCGUGUCUCAGGUGAACAGCGCUGUCAGCACCUUCGCAGUGUGAGCGAGCACAGGUGUGAUCACUCAGUACGUUUACAUGCAGGGAGGAAAUUCAAAUUAUUGCACAGGACUAUGGGAAAAACUGUAAUAAACACAAUGACAACUGAAGUAUUUGGUUGGUUAUUGGCCUAUGUUUACAAAGAAGUACUCAAAGCAUAUCCCAGAGUCAGAGAGUGGUACUGAUGUGUAGAGUAAUAAGACACUUUUCAAUUACUCUGCAAACUUGGUCUCAAAUGUAGUUAAAUUUAAGCUGUUGUCGAUAAUAUUGCUUAAAUGUGCUUGCAGAAGGCACAAGUAACAUGUUGCAUUUGUCUGCUAAAUGUUGAUAUUUAUAAAUUAAUCGAGUGCGGGCGCUCUAAUCUAAUUAUGGAUAGCGUUAGCUUGUUUUCUACUUUUUAACAAAGGCUACAUACUGUUAAUAGGCAUCACAUGUUAGCAGCAUUAGCCCUAACAAGAUCAAGACUGAAGGCACACAGUAGUUUGAUUAGUUCCUGUGCGAAAUGACAAAUACGGUAAGAGGGCAUAGUGUAACAUCUCAUGCAUGUAAACGUACUGGACAGAGAAUGCUUGACUAGCUAAAGUCAUUCUGGAGGAGAUUGCAUUUAUAAUUACAAACAGAAAAGAUAUGGGCUCUUUCAGUCUGGGAUGGCUGCUCUAACCGGCUGUAACUACCACAUCCGCAAAACCUACUGGGCAAGAUUAAGAGCAAUGUACUUUGUUUUAUUUUUGUAUUGAGGCUGGGACUUGGCAGAUUUCCUGAUGGAUAUGUAUCAUGCAGUGGUUAAAUGCAGUCACAUCAUUAUUUCUGGGGUACAACAUGCAUGCUAAUAGUGCUCUGGACUGGAUUUUUCUUGAUCACAGUUACAUUUGUUUUGGUGUGCUGUUCUAUAGUGACCACACGCUACAUGUAAAUGGAACACAGACCUGAGGUUGGAUCAGCGGGGUCCCCUUGCAGCAGGACCACAGCGUUAGUCUGAAUACUCCUGCUUUCUUUGUGUUUCCUGAUGUUGUGAACAUUGCUCUCGAGACGUUGCCCUGUAUUUAUUGAGUCCGGUUCUGAGCUUACCACGGAGACUUGCAUUCUCUAUCGAACUGCUCCAGCACAACCAAAGAACUCACCCGACAACAAUAAAUUGACCAAACAAAAGCUCUCUUUUUGCUUGGGCAAAGUGUUGCAAAACAAGGGGGUGUGUGUAUAGCUGAAAGCCAAGGUUGUGGAUAGCCUUUCUUUGUGAGUAUAUGUAUAAUGCAUUAUGAUUUUGUAAACAACAGAUCUUAAUAUAUGAAUAUAUAUUCAGUUUACUGUAUUCACCAUGAGGAUUACUGUUCUCUUGUCAACCUCUGUGUUACAGAUUGUAAAUAGUGUUAUUGUACUGUGUUUUAUUAUGAUCUAUAUGAUCUUGAAUGAAUAUGAUUUCGGUCAUGUCAUGCUUUCUCUCCGGUAUCCCACAUCGGCUGUACAAUAACUACUUUUUUACUGAAAUGUUACAAUUUUAAUGUCUUUUGUAAGGGAGGAUGCUGAUGUUGACUAUGUAUCAUUGGAUCUUCAUCUAAUAAAAGGCAUCUUGGUAUCCAUACUGAA
Periophthalmus magnuspinnatus is the source of this 2666-nucleotide long non-coding RNA. RefSeq lists it as uncharacterized. NCBI's taxonomy places the organism in Eukaryota, Metazoa, Chordata, Actinopteri, Gobiiformes, Gobiidae. The record is from RefSeq and is a predicted model, not a curated record. The transcript has 2 exons.